RNAcentral lists this ribosomal RNA (287 nucleotides) under Staphylococcus aureus. RNAcentral describes it as "partial 23S ribosomal RNA". It matches the Rfam family "Bacterial large subunit ribosomal RNA", at positions 1880 to 2166 of the family's 2925-position model. Lineage: Bacteria; Bacillati; Bacillota; Bacilli; Caryophanales; Staphylococcaceae. The record is from RNAcentral.
AGAGGAGUGGUUAGCUUCUGCGAAGCUACGAAUCGAAGCCCCAGUAAACGGCGGCCGUAACUAUAAAGGUCCUAAGGUAGCGAAAUUCCUUGUCGGGUAAGUUCCGACCCGCACGAAAGGCGUAACGAUUUGGGCCCUGUCUCAACGAGAGACUCGGUGAAAACAUCCUACCUGUGAAGAUGCAGGUUACCCGCGACAGGACGGAAAGACCCCGUGGAGCUUUACUGUAGCCUGAUAUUGCAAUUCGGCUGUGGUUGUUGUGGUUUGGUUGGUGGGUUUGUUUGGUG